AGCCAGACAGCCUAGUGGUAACUCAGGCACCCCAGUGCUAGUGGGAAGAUCCAGGUUUGAUCCCUGGUCUGGCUG
Pisolithus microcarpus is the source of this 75-nucleotide non-coding RNA. The record is from the annotation of a GenBank genome assembly. NCBI's taxonomy places the organism in Eukaryota, Fungi, Basidiomycota, Agaricomycetes, Boletales, Pisolithaceae.